Monopterus albus (swamp eel) is the source of this 564-nucleotide long non-coding RNA. RefSeq lists it as uncharacterized. Lineage: Eukaryota; Metazoa; Chordata; Actinopteri; Synbranchiformes; Synbranchidae. The transcript has 3 exons. The record is from RefSeq and is a predicted model, not a curated record.
UUCCACCUCUCUCCAACUCUUCUUCUCACAUACUGUCAACAACUGGACCUGAACAUUUCAAACUUCCUCCGUCGCUCCAUAAUCUUCUUUUCCACUGAUCUUGACUCCAGACUUCGUGAGCUUUUCCACGUCUCACCCUUUUUUCCCUGUUCCCUUCAGAAAAAGUGGUUUCUUGGCCGCUGUCCUUCCACAAAGGCCGUUCCUGAUCGAGCUCCUUUGGACUGUGGAAGGAUCAACUUGGCAUCCAGAUGAAGCUGCCAGAUGCUGAGCCAGGUCUUUGCUGGAUUCCCUCCAGUCUCUCAAAGAAGGUCUCAUCAGCUCCAGAGACAAGUGUGUCAGCAUGGAUAUCCAGGCAGCUGAUGGUGCCAGUGUGGCCAUACAGCACCAUCUCACACCUGCCUGUCUUCAAAUUCCAACACCUACAGAUGGGAUGAAACAACGAAUAAACACCCACACUAUUAAAUCUACUUCAGUCAGGAGGGGAAUCUCGCAGUAAUCACCAGGUCCCUGUCUUCGCAGAGCAGCACUGCUCGAAUGCUGGCAACAUGGCCCUUCAUCACUGAC